This 180-nucleotide ribosomal RNA is filed under the name uncultured Glomeromycotina. RNAcentral describes it as "partial small subunit ribosomal RNA". Lineage: Eukaryota; Fungi; Glomeromycota. The record is from RNAcentral.
GGAUUGACACAUCGGUCGUGCCCUAAGGGGUAUGAACUGGUGUAGUCAAUUUCUCACCUUCUGGAGAACCGCGAUGCCCUUAAUUGGGUGUCACGGGGAACCAGGACCUUUACUUUGAAAAAAUUAGAGUGUUCAAAGCAGGCUUACGUCUGAAUACAUUAGCAUGGAAUAAUAAAAUAG